Molecule: ribosomal RNA, 253 nt
Filed under: uncultured bacterium
Lineage: Bacteria
Description: partial 16S ribosomal RNA
Rfam family: Bacterial small subunit ribosomal RNA
Source: RNAcentral
UACGUAGGGAGCAAGCGUUGUCCGGAUUCACUGGGUGUAAAGGGUGCGCAGGCGGGUGAGUAAGUCAGAGGUGAAAUCUCACAGCUUAACUGUGAAACUGCCUUUGAUACUGCUUUUCUUGAGUUCGGGAGAGGUUGAUGGAAUUCCAGGUGUAGCGGUGAAAUGCGUAGAUAUCUGGAAGAACACCAGUGGCGAAGGCGGUCAACUGGCCCGUAACUGACGCUCAGGCACGAAAGCGUGGGUAGCGAACAGG